Molecule: ribosomal RNA, 255 nt
Filed under: uncultured bacterium
Lineage: Bacteria
Description: partial 16S ribosomal RNA
Rfam family: Bacterial small subunit ribosomal RNA
Source: RNAcentral
UACGUAGGGUGCGAGCGUUAAUCGGAAUUACUGGGCGUAAAGCGUGCGCAGGCGGUUCGUUGUGUCGGCGGUGAAAGCCCCGGGCUUAACCUGGGAAUGGCCGUUGAAACUGGCGAACUGGAGUGUGGCAGGAGGGGGGUGGAAUUCCGCGUGUAGCAGUGAAAUGCGUUAGAGAUGCGGAGGAACACCGAUGGCGAAGGCAGCCCCCUGGGCCUGCACUGACGCUCAUGCACGAAAGCGUGGGGAGCAAACAGG